AUACGGAGGGUGCAAGCGUUAUCCGGAAUCAUAGGGUUUAAAGGGUCCGCAGGCGGUCAAUUAAGUCAGAGGUGAAAUCCCAUAGCUUAACUAUGGAACUGCCUUUGAUACUGGUUGACUUGAGUUAUACGGAAGUAGAUAGAAUGUGUAGUGUAGCGGUGAAAUGCAUAGAGAUUACACAGAAUACCGAUUGCGAAGGCAGUCUACUACGUAUAUACUGACGCUCAUGGACGAAAGCGUGGGGAGCGAACAGGAUUAGAAACCCUAGUAGUCC
This 274-nucleotide ribosomal RNA is filed under the name uncultured bacterium. RNAcentral describes it as "partial 16S ribosomal RNA". It matches the Rfam family "Bacterial small subunit ribosomal RNA", at positions 523 to 796 of the family's 1533-position model. The record is from RNAcentral.